GAUGCCGGAAAUGCUCCCGGCAGACUGAGAACUGUAUAAAAGGUCGCACAAAUGAGGAGGUUUUAAUCACUUCUUGCCUUCUCUCUUUGGUGAGCCAGGUUCGCCUCCAGCACAGCAAGAUGUCUGACAGCCUGGACAUGUUGGAAGACCUGCACUACCAGGACUCAUCUUGUUGUUGGAGACCCCCCUGUAGAAGGCGAUGUUGGUGUUGUUGCUAUGAUCCAUGCACUGGACAGCUAAUUUGGCAGGGUAUGUGCUGGUGCCCAGGGUGGCGCAGUAGGGGCAGAUAUGGAAGGUGCUGGCCAUGCUAAAUCCAGUUCGAAUAUUGAUGGCACUUGGAGCAACACGGACAUGAAACGCAAGAUACAGAUUGACGGCUGACCCGACAGACAUGACUUGGAGCAGUGCUAAGCACUCAGUACCUCCAGUGUGAGAGCUCGCCAUUGCUACAAGACUCCCUCCCCCAUUCUCCUGUCUCCUACCCUUUGCUUUGUUACUCCAGCAACUUUGUAUUCCCUGCACUGUUAAGCAUUAAGGCCUCUUCAUGCUGUGCUGUCAUUUAAAAGGAAGCCUCUGCUUCCCUAGAGUCCACUUGUAAUCCACUGCAGAGCACUUGACACAGCCACAGACGUGUAGAAGAUGUUUGGUGACAACAGGUGUAUAAUCCCGGCUGCGGCCCUUUGGAAAAACUUCAAAACAUUUCCUGUCUCCUCUGAAUCCCUUCUGUGUCUGUGUUCUCAAUUUCUUCUGUACAUUAAACUUCCUCUGCAGCAUAA
This is a long non-coding RNA of Alligator sinensis (Chinese alligator), 776 nucleotides long. RefSeq lists it as uncharacterized. The transcript has 2 exons. The record is from RefSeq and is a predicted model, not a curated record. Lineage: Eukaryota; Metazoa; Chordata; Crocodylia; Alligatoridae.